UGUUAUAUAAUUUACAUUUUUUAUAAGGUUGGUUGAAUUGUUUAAAAAAUAUUUAAUUGUUAUUGUAUUUAUUUGAGAUAAAAUUAAUUUUGUUAUAGUUUAUUUGUACUGUAAAGGUAUAUUGAAAUAGUUGUUAAGGUUAAAAAAAGUUGAUUUAAUUUGUUGUACCUUGUGUAUCAGGGUUUAUUAAAAGUUAAUAUUUAUUUAUUGUUCCCGAUUUUAGGAGAGUUAAAUCAUUAUGUUUAUUAAUGUAGAAUAAUUAUAGAAAAUAAUGAUUUGGAGGUGAAAUGUUAAUCGAUCUUGAAUAUAUCUGGUUUUUUGAGAAAUGAAUUUAAUUCAGAUACUAUUUUAUAUAUGUUUUAAUUUUAAAAUAAAUAUUAAAUUGGUGUUAAUACUUUGAGGGAUAAGCUUAAAGGUAAAAUUUCUAUAAAUUUGUAAAAUGAAUAAGGUAUAAUGGAUUUAGAGGUGAUUAUAAAUUGAAGGAUGUUAAAAUUUUACUUAUUUAUUAUGUUAUUUAUAUUAUGUUUGGAUUUAUUAUUAAAAAUUUUAUUUAAUUAUUAAUUAUUUGUUAUUAUGAUAAAAUUAGUAUAAUUUUUAUAUUUGUUUAUAUUAAAGGUUGUUUGAAGAUUAAGAGGAAUUAGGCAAAAUUAUUCUAUGUUCGCCUGUUUAACAAAAACAUCUCUUUUUGUUUGUAUGAAAAGUAUAACCUGCCCACUGACUAUGUUGAAGGGCCGCGGUAUUUUGACCGUGCAAAGGUAGCAUAAUCAUUAGUCUCUUGAUUAGAGGCUGGAAUGAAUGGUUGGACGAAAUGUAGGCUGUCUUAUAAUUUAUAUUAGAAUUUAAUUAUUAAGUAAUAAAGCUUAAAUAUUUUUAUGGGACGAGAAGACCCUAUAGAGUUUAAUAAUUAAUAUUUAUAUAUUUGUUUGUUUAAAAAUUUAUUUUAUUAAUUAUUUUGUUGGGGUGAUGAAAGGAUAUAAUAAACUCUUUUUAUUGUUUAAUAUUAAUAUAUAGGUUUGAUGAUCCAUUAAUAGUGAUUACAAGACUAAAUUACCUUAGGGAUAACAGCGUAAUCUUUUUUGAGAGUUCAAAUCGACAAGGGGGAUUGCGACCUCGAUGUUGGAUUAAGAUAAACAUUAGGUGUAGAAGUUUAAAAUGUUAGGUCUGUUCGACCUUUAAAAUCUUACAUGAUCUGAGUUCAAACCGGCGUGAGCCAGGUUGGUUUCUAUCUAUAAAUAAAGUUAGUAUUUUAGUACGAAAGGACCAAUUACUAGAAAUAAUUUUAUUAAUUUAUGAUUAUUAUUAAUUA
Molecule: ribosomal RNA, 1306 nt
Filed under: Symploce tubercularis
Lineage: Eukaryota; Metazoa; Arthropoda; Insecta; Blattodea; Blattellidae
Description: 16S ribosomal RNA
Rfam family: Archaeal large subunit ribosomal RNA (bases 871-1232)
Source: RNAcentral